AGCCGGGCUGACUAGGGGGACAGACGCCACAGCCACUCAUGCUGGGCCCCCUUCCAGAGGUCAGAGCGAUCGAUGCACACUUUUUCUGCUGAACAGAAUGAGCUGGUACACGCCGAGUUACACAUUUACUGAAGUUUACCCAGGCUGGGACCGCGUUUCCUGGACACAGAGCAUCCCAGGUGCUCAGGAUACAUCAGCGAAGAAAACAAGGAUCCUUGUCCUCAGGGAGGUUAUCACUGUGCCUGGGACUGAGGGAAAGACAGACGCGCAAAACUAAACGGAGUGCCAGCUGGAAGUAGAAGAGAGUGAAUACUCCCACCGAACUCUCUGGUCCAGAGAAGCGCUCGCUCGCCCACGUAAUUACCCACUGAUGCGGAGACGGACUACUCUCCACCCCUUGGAAACAUCUGUUGAUACGGAGAUGCACUAAAGCCAGGCCAAGAGAUUCUGGAAAUAUUGCAAUGUUACCCACCCUGUCUGUGGAACACAUGCCUAUGGCUUCCCUGUAUGUACUUAAUUAAAUUUUGUUCCUUUUUCUCCUGUUCAUCUGUCUCAUGUCAAUUUGUUUCUUAGACCAGCUAAGGGAACUUGGAGGGAUAGAAGAAAUUCUUCCUCCCACCACCAGUCAAGUAUCUAUGUUUACUAAGGGCUGAACCAGGACCUCUCUCUUUUUGUUAAAAUGACCAGGAUGGUGGGGAGAAAAUGGAAAUUAUAGCCAGGAUCCUUGCCUGGGUGUCUCCCCUUGUAGACCUGAAGUGCCUGUUUGCAUGUCUAUGGGAUGUUUACAGAGAGGCUGGUCAGUCUUGGGAGUGUUAGCAGGAAAACAGAUAUGAGCGGGAUGACAGAGAAUUAAGGCCGGUAAAGUUCACUAAAAAGGGGACUCAAAAAGCAUUCUGUCCCAGGGGACUGAGGAGGAGAAG
Manis pentadactyla (Chinese pangolin) is the source of this 920-nucleotide long non-coding RNA. RefSeq lists it as uncharacterized. Lineage: Eukaryota; Metazoa; Chordata; Mammalia; Pholidota; Manidae. The transcript has 3 exons. The record is from RefSeq and is a predicted model, not a curated record.